This 101-nucleotide transfer RNA is filed under the name Hydrogenophilus thermoluteolus. RNAcentral describes it as "tRNA-Glu". RNAcentral also lists the same sequence under 1 other name. The record is from RNAcentral. Lineage: Bacteria; Pseudomonadati; Pseudomonadota; Hydrogenophilia; Hydrogenophilales; Hydrogenophilaceae.
CGCGCGCGAUGCGCGAAUUGGUAGACGAUCUGCGCGCGCUCUCCGCGCGGAUUCGCGAAGGCGGUGGCGCGGCCGCGCGUUCGAAACAUGUCGCACGCGGC